Molecule: long non-coding RNA, 1163 nt
Filed under: Betta splendens (Siamese fighting fish)
Lineage: Eukaryota; Metazoa; Chordata; Actinopteri; Anabantiformes; Osphronemidae
Description: lncRNA (ENSBSLG00000003846.1)
Source: RNAcentral
AGAGUUAUAGACUAUAGUUAUAGACUGUUUAUGAACAUGUUUAUUUGCUCUAUCUGAAAUGUUCUUGUCACUUUUUUUAAGAGUUGCUCUUUAAGAGGUUGACUGUUAAAAGGGACCUGUCCAGUCAGACUGACUGCUUGUCUUUGGACUGGACCUUGUCGUCCACCAGAGUCUUAAACUUGUGUCUUGACAGAACUGGCUGUUCCUGUGUUCCUGGUGCUGUGUGCACCGCUCUCCCGGUGUUUUCCAGUAACUUCACGUGGAAACACACCUGCUCAGUUUUACUGCACAGAACCUGCACAGAACAGUUUGACUGCACAGAACCACAGCUGACUGCAAUACUGCAGUUGACUGUUAAAAAGGGACCUUUCCACUUAGACUGACUGCUUGUCUCAGGACUGUGGGAGGAAGCCUGAACCCACACAGGCAGCGGAACAUGAAGACAUCACACAGAAGGGAGACUGAUUUUUCUUUUUUUGAUGAAAACAACAAGAAGUUCAGUGACAUAUCGUACUCGAUGACUCAUACCUAGAGAAAGCUGUUUUUGAGGUGAUGACAUUUUAACAGAAAGUUUGAAGGGAAUCAGGCGCAAAAAACAACUACGGUAAAUUCCCUAGAAUGAAAAACUAAUUUCCGUCCAUUCGUGACGAAAAAAUGUGUUUUACACCAUUCACCAGAGUCUUACUUUGGUUUGUGCAUGUUUUGACUGAGCCAGCUGUUGUCUUGAAGGUGCAGACUGCGCAUGGUCUAAUGGUGAUUAUAGCAGUGCGCGCGUAGCGAUGCUCUUAAAAUGGAAACCGCUCCCGUGAAGAUCCGUCAUCCAGGUCCCCGUGCCGCCAGCUGAGGUGUCACGUUUCACGUAGCAGCAUCACACCACAUUGAGGGAGAAUGUUGAAACGAAUGAUUGAAACGUGGAGCAAGAAGCACGACAAGCAAACACACAUCUGAUCGCUGUCAUUUCAGGACGAUACAUUUCCACCUAACGCCAUAUGACUGAGACGCAGAAACUGUAGAAUGGUUGAGCGGCACUAAGAGAAAACUUGUCCAUGACACAACAGGUCCAAAAGAACCGGAACCGUUCUUCCAGAGACAGAGGCGGGCAGUGUUGCUGUUUCCAAAAUAACUAAUAAUAAAAUCCCCACCAUGAAAAGUAAGUUUGUCCA